Molecule: long non-coding RNA, 3589 nt
Filed under: Nicotiana tabacum (common tobacco)
Lineage: Eukaryota; Viridiplantae; Streptophyta; Magnoliopsida; Solanales; Solanaceae
Description: long non-coding RNA (NTAB_LNC018394)
Source: RNAcentral
AGAAUGUCUAAAUAAAGAUAAAUACAGAAGGGCUAAAACUAUAAGAGAGAGUGGAAAGGGACUCCUCGGUCUGUGGACGUGGUAGAUAUACCUUGAAGUCUCUGGAGGAUCACCUCGCCUCAAGGGUAGUAGGACUGAGUCGAAGUACCUAGAUCUGCACAUGAAAAACAUGCGCAGAAAAGGCAUGAGCACACCACAACGUUACUCAGUAAGUGCCAGGCCUAACCUCGGUUGAGUAGUGACGAGGAAUGUCAAGGCCCUACUGAUUAUAGAUGAAAAACGAGGUGAAACAAUAUAGAAUACAACAAUAUAAUUAAAUGCUAACUAUAUGAAUUAACACAGGAUACUAAGAAUAACAAUGACUAUAACGGAGACAAAAUAAUCACAGAAGGAAUACAGCUCAACUCAGACAUAACAACCGGGGAUCUCUCAGUAUCCCUAGGAUCUCUUAGUAUCCUCAAUAUGUGUGUUGGGGAUCUCUCGGUAUCCCGAGGAUCUCUUAGUAUCCUCAAUAUAUGUGCUGGGGAUCUCUCGGUAUCCCGAGGAUCUCUUAGUAUCCUCAAUAUACGUGUUGGAGAUCUCUCGGUAUCCCGCACUACAGUCCAAAUCAAUAUAUAUGUGCAAAGGAUCUCCCGGAAUACAAAUCCGUAGUCCCAAAGUAAAUAGGCAGGGGGAUCUCUCGAGAUACCGUCCCGUAGUCCCAAAGUAAACACACACAACAACACAAAGAAUACUCAAUUCAAUUCAAAUUCCAUACCAAGGCAAAACAGGUAUUUCUAACCUAGCAUGCUGCACAUAAUCCAAAUAAGGCAGUUUGAGCAAGUAAAGUAAUUAAGUCAAUUAGACAUGCUUCCCUAAGCUAACAGCAGGCUUAAAUUGCAAGUAAUACAAAGAGGAACAGAAACACAAUUAUAGAUACUUAACGAAAACACGAUUUUUCAACAAUUAGCACAGGUACGCACUCGUCACCUCACGUACAAGGUAUUUCAAAUAUCAACAAUACCAAAUCCUAAGGGAAGUUCCCCCCCCCCCCCACAAGGUUAGGCAAGCCAUUUACCUCGAAUCGGCCCAAAAUCAACCCGAAACCACGUUCUUGCCACGAGUACUCGACUCCAAAUGGCCCAAAUCUAUUCAAAUCAAUUGCAUAAUGUAAAUAUAACUUCAAGUAACUGAUUCCACUAAUUAAUUCUAAGCUAAUACGCGAAAUUAGGAAAAAUAACCAAAACGCCCCCGGGCCCACGUCUCGGAAUCGGGUAAAAUUUACAAAUUCGGGAUCUUUACACUCUCACGAGUUCAUAUAUACAGAAAUUACUCCAAUUCGACAUCAAAAUCCUGAUCAAAACUCCAAAAUUAGGUCUAAGAACUUUUCUAUUUUUUUUCUCCAAUUUUUUCACCCCAAAUUCGAAUUUAAAAGAGGAAUUUAAGCAUAGAUUCAUGAAAAUUAAUCAAAACGGAGUAAGAAUUACUUACCCAAAAUACCCAGGUGAAAAUCUCUCUCAAAAUCGCCAAUCAUGAGUUCCCAAAUCAAUUUCUAAGGUUUUGAAACUAAACCCUCGAUUCUGUCCCUUUUCUGACCAGUGAAACCGCAUCUGCGACUCUGGGACUGCACCUGCGGUCCCACUUCCACGAAGACCAAGUCACACCUGCGAUUUUUCAUUAAACGGGGCUUUCCUCUUCUGCGACUACCUUCCCACACCUGCGGUCUCACAGGUGAGUUCCACUUCUCGCACCUGCGACUUCUGGAGCCUAGACCAAAUUCCGCUUCUACGGUCACUUAGCCGCUUCUGUGUCGCUGCACCUACGGUCCCACACACGUAGGUGCGGUUAUGACAGGUUCAACAAUCAGAUUUUGCCUACUGUCCCACCUCCUUUUUACCAUCCCCGGAAGGGGGGUAUAAGGGAGUUUUUUUCAAUUUAAGUGACAAUCGAAAUGAGAUUAUUUAUAUUAAAUUCAGAGUCGCCACUUGGGAUAAUUUAUGAUGUCCCAAGUCACCGGUUUAAAAUCCCGAAUCGAGGAAAGUUGACUCUUAUUUAUGGUCUGCGAACACAAAAAUCCGGGUAAGGAAUUCUGUUAACCCGGGAGAAGGUGUUAGGCAUUCCCGGGUUCCAUGGUUUUAGCACGGUCGCUUUGAUCAUACUUGGCUUAUUCAAAUUGUCUAAUUACUCAUUUUAGAACCUAUGUGCAUUUGCCUCUUUUAAUUAAGGAAUUAUCUUGAAAACGAGCCACGCGUACGUGUACUCAUAUGUUUGGUGCGUCAAGAAUCAUGUCACGCGUACGUGUCCAAAAUUCCUAACACUUAGUUAUUAUUAAGAAAAGUUUGGUCGAAGUUGCGCGAAUGCAUACCCUAAUUUUGUUUUUAAGGUCGUAAUUAUGUCACGCCACGUGUACACAAUCACGAUGAUUUAUUAACUGUGGGCAUACCUAAAAGUAUACUAGCAUACAUGGAAAGAGAGGACACUUAUUCUUAUUUGCAUUUGAUAAACUCCACUGCCUCAACCUAACAAUCAUUCAAAACCAUCCGAACGAACACACAAAAAUAAACAUCAUGACAAAUAAACACUAAACCAUUCCAAGAAACAUGAACUACGUAAAGAUGAAAACAACUUAAAUCUCCAAAGGGUUUAAAUUUGUUAUUUAAAUUUAAAUCUGCAUUCAUGUCUUUUAAAAAUCACCUCAGUAACACUUGAAUUCAACAAAGAAAAAUAUAAAAGAUAAUCCUAUAAAUUUAUUAUGCUAAAGAAACCAUGAUUAAAAUAAUGAAAUUUUUUUAAAACAUAUUUCCUCUGAAACAAGGUGAUGGAAAACAAGCAAAGCAGUAUUCUAUUCUUAAUAGAAGACUCAAACGAGGUGAUGCAAAACAAGCAAUCAUUAUCGAUAUCAGGUAGGAUUAAUGAAGAAAAAUGAACCUAAAAUUAGAAAAUGGGCCAACUGAUUCAGAUGUUAACUUCAAACUCAAGCGAAACAACAGCAGCAAAGUCGAGCAAUAAAUCGCAAGCAAAAUCGAAACCUCGAACUGGAAACCUUGUCGAAUUCGGAACAGACUACCUUCAACGGCGACCUCCACACGAUUCAAACUCGAAUUCGGCUCCAACAUUAAUUAAACUCCAUGUUGCAGAAAACUAAGAACCAAAUCGAGAAUGGGGAAGACGAAGUAAACUUUGUAUUGUUUUCGAUUGCUCUGUUUGUGUCUAUCUAUUAUAGCUGUAUACCCAUUCCCUCGCUCUGUUUGUGUGUGUGUGAUGCUGUUGAGGGAGUGUCGAAGAAGAAGGGUGUAUGGCUGUUGUCUGUUUUUCGGCGAGCUCGAAGGUGGAAGAACAGCGAUCUGUUGGUGCGUCUGUCCGGCGUUAGGCUGCUCGAAGCUGUUGUUGGAAAGAAGAAGAAGAUGGAAUUCAGAUGAGGGGUUGUCAUUUGGUUGAAGAAGAAGCAGAACGGUGGGGGAGAGAUCUAUGUCUUCUGCGGCUUAUCAGAUCUCUUAGGCAUUAGGUUAGCUCCUCAUUUUUUGUCAAAAAUGACUGUCAGCUCCUAGAGUUUUCCAAGUUUUUGGGAAGAAGAAAGAGCUCCAAGGUUUUUUGUGUAGGUCUCUUUUAA